RNAcentral lists this transfer RNA (67 nucleotides) under Schistosoma mansoni. The record is from RNAcentral. Lineage: Eukaryota; Metazoa; Platyhelminthes; Trematoda; Strigeidida; Schistosomatidae.
CAGUAGCUGAGUGGAAAAAGCGAUGGCAUUUAAAGUGAAUGGUAUUGGGUUCGAGUCCCAGAGUGAA